RNAcentral lists this ribosomal RNA (575 nucleotides) under Streptomyces mutabilis. RNAcentral describes it as "bacterial SSU rRNA". It matches the Rfam family "Bacterial small subunit ribosomal RNA", at positions 104 to 692 of the family's 1533-position model. The record is from RNAcentral. Lineage: Bacteria; Bacillati; Actinomycetota; Actinomycetes; Kitasatosporales; Streptomycetaceae.
GGGUGAGUAACACGUGGGCAAUCUGCCCUGCACUCUGGGACAAGCCCUGGAAACGGGGUCUAAUACCGGAUACUGACCCUCGCAGGCAUCUGCGAGGUUCGAAAGCUCCGGCGGUGCAGGAUGAGCCCGCGGCCUAUCAGCUAGUUGGUGAGGUAAUGGCUCACCAAGGCGACGACGGGUAGCCGGCCUGAGAGGGCGACCGGCCACACUGGGACUGAGACACGGCCCAGACUCCUACGGGAGGCAGCAGUGGGGAAUAUUGCACAAUGGGCGAAAGCCUGAUGCAGCGACGCCGCGUGAGGGAUGACGGCCUUCGGGUUGUAAACCUCUUUCAGCAGGGAAGAAGCGAAAGUGACGGUACCUGCAGAAGAAGCGCCGGCUAACUACGUGCCAGCAGCCGCGGUAAUACGUAGGGCGCAAGCGUUGUCCGGAAUUAUUGGGCGUAAAGAGCUCGUAGGCGGCUUGUCACGUCGGUUGCGAAAGCCCGGGGCUUAACCCCGGGUCUGCAGUCGAUACGGGCAGGCUAGAGUUCGGUAGGGGACAUCGGAAUUCCUGGUGUACCGGUGACAUGCGCA